GGGCGAGUAGCUCAACUGGCUAGAGCACCGGUCUCCAAAACCGGGGGUUAGGGGUUCGAUUCCUCUCUCGCCCG
This 74-nucleotide transfer RNA is filed under the name candidate division WOR-1 bacterium RIFOXYA12_FULL_43_27. RNAcentral describes it as "tRNA-Trp". It matches the Rfam family "tRNA". From Rfam's summary of the family: Transfer RNA (tRNA) molecules are approximately 80 nucleotides in length. Their secondary structure includes four short double-helical elements and three loops (D, anti-codon, and T loops). RNAcentral also lists the same sequence under 3 other names. Lineage: Bacteria; Bacillati. The record is from RNAcentral.